AAUCUUCGAAGUUAAAUAAGCAUUGGCCUUUUUUAAAUGAAGCUAAAUGCCAUGGUUGCAUGUAACAAUAAAUCUCAAACUAGCCAAUGAGGGAAUGAUGCCCUGCUGAGAGAAAGACAACUAUGUACAGACCCAGUAUGAUGUCAUGGGAAAUGUGUUGUCUUCUAGGUGUCUGUAUCCAGAAUGUAGCAGAGAGGUUAUUGACACUGUUCAAAGCCAAUUCUUUUCUUUUGAUUUAUAUGAGUAGAAAUCACAGACCAGAAGAAAGCAUUACAAAAACCUGUGAGGUUUUAAGCAGGAAGAAACUCGGAAGAGAGGACUGCUGCUUGCUGAUCAUUAUUCCUCUUCUCCAUCACCAGCUCCAUGCAGGAUAAACUGGAAUGUUCUUUUGACGUUGGCUAUGGAAAACCUACGGCAGAUGACAAUAGAUAGCUGAGCCACAGUAGGUCUCAGGAAAGCUAGGCAAGUAGCAUCUGGAUGAAACUUGAAUGGGUGACAACGAGGAAAUCCCAGACAAGCUGGAAAGUUGAAAUUGCAUCGCAAAAGAAGGCAGUGCCAAACCACUUCCAUGCUGUUGCCAAGAAAAUUGCACGGAUGUGUUGAUGAACUGGCUAGGAAAAAGUGUUUACCAAAAUAAGUAUUUGGUUCUGGGAAUUUACAAGAAGCGUUGAAAUUAUAUAACAACAAAAACCACAUCGCUUCUGCACUCGAUAUCGAACCCACACUCCCACAUCAUUUAAACUGUGUAUCAGGUUCGGGGGGUGGGGGGAGGAUGAGAAGAGCUCCAAUUCAAAAUUAGUUUAUAACAUAUGCAUGUCCAUUCUUGGUUUAGUUUGUAUGGUUUGUUUUUAAGUCUGAGAACUAUCAACUGAGUAAUCUCAAAGCUCAUUUCCAUGAUGUGGUUUCACUGCUCACUAUUGCAAAGCAUGUUUUAAAAGUCCUCCAGCACUUGGAUGUCUGAUCUCAUUGAAAGGCCUUGAAAUGAUUUAGUUUUCAGCACUUUUUUUAAAAAAAAAGAUGUCCUUGGAUUUUGUUAGUAUGUUUAAUUUUUUCCCAGCUGUAAAUUAUUAUUUUAGAAAAUCUAAUCCAAAAGUAUUGGAAAAGAAAACUUAGCUUCGCUUUUUGCAUUGGCUGCAUGUUUCCCUGACACGAAGUGCAUAUUAUUUCUAUUUAAAGAAUAUUCCCUUCUUUUCUUUUGUAUGUACUACUCAUCUAUGAAUAUCAUGAUCAGCUUUAAAAUGACCCACUGGUGAAUAUUUCCAUUUGCACCUGUUGGUUCCUCACCUGACUGGUGCAGCUAAAAGACAGUCAUUCUACCAUAAUGUCUGCGGAAAGCUCUAUUGUUUGUUUGAGUUGUAUAAAUUGUGAUCUCAGAAGCACAUUCAGAUCCGCAAUGUCAUAGGUGGGGCCCCUUCAAAGAUUAUUUCCAAACUAAUUUUUGAGAUAAUAGAAAUGGAAAGUUAUUGAAUAAUUAUAGUAAUUGUAUUUAAGUAGAUUCAAUGUGAAUGAGAAAUAAAUAUUAAAUUUUUUUGUCUUA
Molecule: long non-coding RNA, 1537 nt
Organism: Pantherophis guttatus
Lineage: Eukaryota; Metazoa; Chordata; Lepidosauria; Squamata; Colubridae
Source: RefSeq, a predicted model, not a curated record